This 673-nucleotide ribosomal RNA is filed under the name uncultured actinomycete. RNAcentral describes it as "bacterial SSU rRNA". It matches the Rfam family "Bacterial small subunit ribosomal RNA", at positions 232 to 885 of the family's 1533-position model. Lineage: Bacteria; Bacillati; Actinomycetota; Actinomycetes; Actinomycetales. The record is from RNAcentral.
CGCGGCCUAUCAGCUUGUUGGUGAGGUAAUGGCCCACCAAGGCGAUGACGGGUAGCUGAUCUGAGAGGAUGGCCAGCCACAUUGGGACUGAGAGACGGCCCAGACUCCUACGGGAGGCAGCAGUGGGGAAUCUUGCGCAAUGGCCGAAAGGCUGACGCAGCGACGCCGCGUGCGGGAGGAAGCUCUUCGGGGUGUAAACCGCUGUUGCCCGGGACGAAUGGCGCUAUUUGUAGCGCUUGACGGUACCGGGUGAGGGAGCGCCGGCUAACUCUGUGCCAGCAGCCGCGGUAAUACAGAGGGCGCGAGCGUUGUCCGGAAUCACUGGGCGUAAAGGGCGCGUAGGUGGCGGCAUAAGGCUGUGGUGAAAGUUCGGGGCUCAACCCCGGAUCGGCCGUGGCAACUGUGUCGCUAGGGCACCGUAGAGGCAGAUGGAAUUCCGGGUGUAGCGGUGGAAUGCGUAGAGAUCCGGAAGAACACCAGUGGCGAAGGCGGUCUGCUGGGCGGUGAGCUCGCAAGGGCUCAAUAGCCGACACUGAGGCGCGACAGCGUGGGGAGCAAACAGGAUUAGAUACCCUGGUAGUCCACGCCGUAAACGAUGGGCACUAGGUGCUCUGGGGAGCGACCCCCGGGGUACCGGCGCUAACGCAUGAAGUGCCCCGCCUGGGGAGUACGG